GACGAACGCUGGCGGCGUGCUUAACACAUGCAAGUCGAACGGAAAGGCCCUGCUUGUGUGGGGUGCUCGAGUGGCGAACGGGUGAGUAACACGUGAGUAACCUGCCCUUGACUUUGGUAUAACUUCAGGAAACUGGGGCUAAUACCGGAUAGGAGCUCCUGCUGCAUGGUGGGCGUUGGAAAUUUUCGGCGGUUGGGGAUGGAUGCGCGGCUGAUCAGCUUGUUGGUGGGGUAGUGGCUGACCAAGGCUUUGAAGGGUAGCCGGCAUGAGAGGGUGACCGGCGACAUUAGGACUGCGGUACGGACCAGAGUCCUACGGGGGGCAGCGGUGGGGAGUAUUGCACAAUGGGAGGAAGCGUGAUGCAGCAGCGCCGCGGUCGGGAUGACGGCCUGUGGGGUGUAAACCGCUUUAGCCUGUGACGAAGCGUGAGUGACGGUAAUGGGUAAAGAAGCACCGGCUAACUACGUG
Molecule: ribosomal RNA, 468 nt
Filed under: uncultured bacterium
Lineage: Bacteria
Description: partial 16S ribosomal RNA
Rfam family: Bacterial small subunit ribosomal RNA
Source: RNAcentral